RNAcentral lists this ribosomal RNA (497 nucleotides) under uncultured bacterium. Its description in RNAcentral is "partial 16S ribosomal RNA". It matches the Rfam family "Bacterial small subunit ribosomal RNA", at positions 28 to 507 of the family's 1533-position model. The record is from RNAcentral.
GAUGAACGCUGGCGGCGUGCCUAAUACAUGCAAGUCGAGCGAACAGAUGAGGAGCUUGCUCCUCUGACGUUAGCGGCGGACGGGUGAGUAACACGUGGAUAACCUACCUAUAAGACUGGGAUAACUUCGGGAAACCGGAGCUAAUACCGGAUAAUAUAUUGAACCGCAUGGUUCAAUAGUGAAAGACGGUUUUGCUGUCACUUAUAGAUGGAUCCGCGCCGCAUUAGCUAGUUGGUAAGGUAACGGCUUACCAAGGCAACCAUGCGUAGCCGACCUGAGAGGGUGAUCGGCCACACUGGAGCUGAGACACGGUCAAGACUCCUACGGGAGGCAGCAGUAGGGAAUCUUCCGCAAUGGGCGAAAGCCUGACGGAGCAACGCCGCGUGAGUGAUGAAGGUCUUCGGAUCGUAAAACUCUGUUAUUAGGGAAGAACAAAUGUGUAAGUAACUAUGCACGUCUUGACGGUACCUAAUCAGAAAGCCACGGCUAACUACGUG